GAGAGACAGACUCCAGUUAUAAACAGAGACAGAGAGACAGACUCCAGUUAUAAACAGAGACAGAGAGACAGACUCCAGUUAUAAACAGAGACAGAGAGACAGACUCCAGUUAUAAACAGAGACAGAGAGACAGACUCCAGUUAUAGACAGAGACAGAGAGACAGACUCCAGUUAUAAACAGAGACAGAGACAGAGAGACAGACUCCAGUUAUACACAGAGACAGAGACAGAGAGACAGACUCCAGUUAUAAACAGAGACAGAGAGACAGACUCCAGUUAUAAACAGAGACAGAGAGACAGACUCCAGUUAUAAACAGAGACAGAGAGACAGACUCCAGUUAUAGACAGAGACAGAGAGACAGACUCCAGUUAUAAACAGAGACAGAGACAGAGAGACAGACUCCAGUUAUACACAGAGACAGAGACAGAGAGACAGACUCCAGUUAUACACAGAGACAGAGACAGAGAGACAGACUCCAGUUAUAAACAGAGACAGAGAGACAGACUCCAGUUAUAAACAGAGACAGAGAGACAGACUCCAGUUAUAAACAGAGACAGAGAGACAGACUCCAGUUAUACACAGAGACACAGAGACAGAGAGACAGACUCCAGUUAUACACAGAGACACAGAGACAGAGAGACAGACUCCAGUUAUAAACAGUAGUAGUCAGUAGUCUAGGUGACAGUAGGGUGGUAGUCUAGGUGACAGUGUGGUGGUAGUCUAGGGGGCAGUGUGGUGGUAGUCUAGGGGACAGUGUGGUGGUAGUCUAGGUAACAGUGUGGUGGUAGUCUAGGGGACAGUGUGGUGGUAGUCUAGGGGACAGUGUGGUGGUAGUCUAGGGGACAGUGUGGUGGUAGUCUAGGGGACAGUGUGGUGGUAGUCUAGGUAACAGUGUGGUGGUAGUCUAGGUAACAGUGUGGUGGUAGUCUAGGUGACAGUGUGGUGGUAGUCUAGGUGACAGUGUGGUGGUAGUCUAGGGGACAGUGUGGUGGUAGUCUAGGGGACAGUGUGGUGGUAGUCUAGGGGACAGUGUGGUGGUAGUCUAGGUAACAGUGUGGUGGUAGUCUAGGUGACAGUGGGUGGUAGUCUAGGUGACAGUGUGGUGGUAGUCUAGGUGACAGUGUGGUGGUAGUCUAGGUGACAGUGUGGUGGUAGUCUAGGUAACAGUGUGGUGGUAGUCUAGGUGACAGUGUGGUGGUAGUCUAGGUGACAGUGUGGUGGUAGUCUAGGGGACAGUGUGGUGGUAGUCUAGGGGACAGUAGGGUGGUAGUCUAGGUGACGGCCAGGACAGAAGUUGAUCUUAGAUUUCCAAAAACAUGAAGACAUCCUAACCCAUUACACACACACACACACACAAACAACUACACACAUAUACACACAUAUACACACACAUGUGCACACACACACACAAGCAUACAGACACACAAACAUACACACACACACACACACACACAGCCAAGCACCGCCACUCCCCCUUUAGACAGGACAGAAUGUAAACCAUCUAAGAAUUUGAUUCGCUGUCUGUCUGUCUGUCUGUCUGUCUGUCUGUCUGUCUGUCUGUCUGUCUGUCUGUCUGUCUGUCUGUCUGUCUGUCUGUCUGUCUGUCUGUCUGUCUGUCUGUCUGUCUGUGUGUGUGUGUGUGUGUGUCAGAGAAGGAAGGGGACCCUCAUAUACAGUUGAAGUCGGAAGUUUACGUCCACUUAGGUUGGAGUAAUUUAAAACUCAUUUUUCAUCCACUCCACAAAUUUCUUGUUAACAAACUAUAGUUUUGGCAAGUCGGUUAGGACGUCUACUUUGUGCAUGACACAAGUAAUUUUUCCAACUAUUUUUUACAGACUGAUUAUUUCACUUAUAAUUCACUGUAUCACAAUUUCAGUGGGUCAGAAGUUUACAUACACUAAGUUGACUGUGCCUUUAAACAGCUUGGAAAAUUCCAGAAAAUUAUGUCAUGGCUUUAGAAGCUUCUGAUAGGCUAAUUGACAUUUGAGUCAAUUGGAGGUGUACCUGUGGAUGUGUUUCAAGGCCUACCUUCAAACUCAGUGCCUCUUUGCUUGACAUCAUGUGAAAAUCAAAAGAAAUCAGCCAAGACCUCAGAAAAAAUUAUAGACCUCCACAAGUCUGGUUCAUCAUUGGGAGCAAUUUCCAAAUGCCUGAAGGUACCAUGUUCUUCUGUACAAACAAUAGUACCUGAAAAUAGCUGUGCAGCAACGCUCCCCAUCCAACCUGACAGAGCUUCAGAGGAUCUGCAGAGAAGAAUGGGAGAAACUCCCCAAAUACAGGUGUGCCAAGCUUGUAGAGUCAUACCCAUGAAGACUCGAGGCUGUAGUCGCUGCCAAAGGUGCGUCAACAAAGUACUGAGUAAAGGGUCUGAAUACUUAUGUUAAUGUGAUAUUUCAGUUUUUAUUAUUUUUUUAUACAUUUUCAAACAUUUCUAAAAACCACCUUUUGCUUUGUCAUCAUGGAGUAUUGUGUUUAGAUUGAUGAGGGAAAAACACAACUUAAUCCACUUUAGAAUAAGGCUGUAACAUAGCAAAAUGUGUAAAAGGUCAAGGGGUCUGAAUACUUUCCGAGUGCACUGUACAUUUAUUCAAAAUUUUAGGAAAAGCAGCAGAGAGAGAGAGAGAGAGAGAGAGAGAGAGAGAGAGAGAGAGAGACAGAGAGACACAGAGAGAGAGAGAGAGAGAGAGAGAGAGACACACGAGAGAGAGAGAGAGAGAGAGAGAGAGAGAGAGAGAGACACAGAGAGAGAGAGAGAGAGAGAGAGACAGAGAGACACACAAGAGAGAGAGAGAGAGAGACUUUUUUUUCUUAGUUUACCUUUAACUUACUUAGCUAGCAUACAUACAUACCAUACAGCUAAAUGCUUGCUGUUUGGGGUUUUAGGCUGGGUUUCUGUACAGCACUUUGAGAUAUCAGCUGAUGUACGAAGGGCUUUAUAAAUACAUUUGAUUUGAUUUGAUGAUUCAGCUUACUCAACAACAUCACUCCAAAAGAGAAUAAUGUUUUUAUUUUUUUAAUUUUUUAUGUUAGCUAGCUGGCUAUCCAAACACUGCAACUUUUCCAAGUCAAGCUAAGCUUUUCUAUUUUAUUAAUAAUGUAUUGCCACCAAGACCCGCCGGUGUAACUCCUAAACUGGUCCGUGUACUGCGCUGUGCACGUUAAAGGAGCGUGCACGGACUCUCCCGUAUUAUCACCUCACAGGUGUGGAAGUUUCUACUGACACGGUUGUCCAUGUUUAAUUCCUG
Molecule: long non-coding RNA, 3246 nt
Filed under: Salmo salar (Atlantic salmon)
Lineage: Eukaryota; Metazoa; Chordata; Actinopteri; Salmoniformes; Salmonidae
Description: lncRNA (ENSSSAG00000116314.1)
Source: RNAcentral